CCACCUGCUAGAUUGUUCAGAAGGUUGUUAUCAUCCAUCCAGAUGGAGGAUCACUGACAGGAGCGUGGAAGACUCCAGAAUCCACUCUGGCUGGAAUCCGGUGGAUACAGCAGUGUUUACAGAACAGUUCUCCACAGUCACUGUCCACAUGGGUCAGUGGGACCAAGAAGCACUCUGCUAAUGUGUGGACUCUGACCAGCAACAUCCAGCAAGACCCAGGCAGCGUUUUCUAUCUCCCAGCUGGAGUUUUUUUGUUUGUCUGUGACUGGAGAGUCAGAUUUUUGUUGAGGCUGGAGGAACAGAGAGGUUAAUACACUCUACUGAUCCCUGAUGGGAGAAUCAUCACCUCUGCCAACAAAGAAGCCUGGUGGAUGUUUGUUUGCAGUCUGAUGAUGGGACAUCAUGCUCUGCAUCUUCAAAGUUUGUCUCUUGAUUAUUAUUCAUACACAGUAAUGUGAAGUAUGCUCAUAUCUAGUAUACCUGGACCAACCUGGUGCUCUUCAUUUAUGGAGGCUGUUGAGUCUGAAUGUUGGAUGUUGUGUAUCUCGUGUUCUCUGGGCUUUGUUGUCCUCAGUCUUUUUGCAGGAUCAGAAAACAAAACCAGGAGGCCUGUAAAUGUUUCUUCUCCAAUUGGAUGAUGAUAAGACUGUGACACGGGAUGCCACCUUUAGUCUUGUGAUGAAGCAAAGCUCAGGAAGAAGUGUGAUUAAAUGGUACCCACAUGUGUGCUGCUGAGAAGGAUGUACAGGGGCACCUGCAGCCAAAUCCAAGCCUCCUCAGCAACUUCAGGUCUGUCAGCGUGCUGAGGUCACAGAAACAAGAAAAGCAGCUUCAGAGUGUUGUUUACAGUUUUCUGUCAUCAUGAUCUCCCCUGAAGUUUAUCACUAUUUUACAAGCAAUGGUGAUGGUGUGGAGAGGCGGUGGUGUUUCCUCAGAAGAACUAGCAGAGUCACAAAGGACACGAGUCCUUCUCACCACCUUGACUUGCUGACUGAUGCUCGUCUGCACUGCACAGAGGAAAUCAACUGACCGAGUUUCUGAGUGAGGGAGAGAGGAGUCAUCAUCCAGGUAAAGUGACGUGGAUCAGUGGAUACACUUGUCUCCCCUUUAGAGGAGAUACUCUUAGAGAGAGACGAUCUGAGUCAUCCUUAAAUAUGGGCAGGAUAUCACUAUUAGACUGUCUAACCUGCCGGAGCAGCACUGAAUGAUCACCACACAUGAGCAUGUUCCUGCAACAUUCAGCAGCUUUGCUUUUGCUGGAGAGGAAACUACACCAGUGUACUGGGAUGUUUCACCA
Long non-coding RNA from Oreochromis aureus, 1297 nucleotides. NCBI's taxonomy places the organism in Eukaryota, Metazoa, Chordata, Actinopteri, Cichliformes, Cichlidae. The record is from Ensembl.